CAGUCGCCGCGGGAAUACGGAGGGGGCUAGCGUUGUUCGGAAUUACUGGGCGUAAAGCGCACGUAGGCUGCUUUGUAAGUUAGAGGUGAAAGCCUGGUGCUCAACACCAGAACUGCCUUUAAGACUGCAGAGCUAGAACGUCGGAGAGGUGAGUGGAAUUCCGAGUGUAGAGGUGAAAUUCGUAGAUAUUCGGAAGAACACCAGUGGCGAAGGCGGCUCACUGGACGACUGUUGACGCUGAGGUGCGAAAGCGUGGGGAGCAAACAGGAUUAGAUACCCCUGUAGUCCCUGUCUCUUAUAC
Molecule: ribosomal RNA, 301 nt
Filed under: uncultured bacterium
Lineage: Bacteria
Description: partial 16S ribosomal RNA
Rfam family: Bacterial small subunit ribosomal RNA
Source: RNAcentral